RNAcentral lists this ribosomal RNA (583 nucleotides) under Escherichia coli. RNAcentral describes it as "partial 23S ribosomal RNA". It matches the Rfam family "Bacterial large subunit ribosomal RNA", at positions 2159 to 2741 of the family's 2925-position model. The record is from RNAcentral. Lineage: Bacteria; Pseudomonadati; Pseudomonadota; Gammaproteobacteria; Enterobacterales; Enterobacteriaceae.
GAAGUGUGGACGCCAGUCUGCAUGGAGCCGACCUUGAAAUACCACCCUUUAAUGUUUGAUGUUCUAACGUUGACCCGUAAUCCGGGUUGCGGACAGUGUCUGGUGGGUAGUUUGACUGGGGCGGUCUCCUCCUAAAGAGUAACGGAGGAGCACGAAGGUUGGCUAAUCCUGGUCGGACAUCAGGAGGUUAGUGCAAUGGCAUAAGCCAGCUUGACUGCGAGCGUGACGGCGCGAGCAGGUGCGAAAGCAGGUCAUAGUGAUCCGGUGGUUCUGAAUGGAAGGGCCAUCGCUCAACGGAUAAAAGGUACUCCGGGGAUAACAGGCUGAUACCGCCCAAGAGUUCAUAUCGACGGCGGUGUUUGGCACCUCGAUGUCGGCUCAUCACAUCCUGGGGCUGAAGUAGGUCCCAAGGGUAUGGCUGUUCGCCAUUUAAAGUGGUACGCGAGCUGGGUUUAGAACGUCGUGAGACAGUUCGGUCCCUAUCUGCCGUGGGCGCUGGAGAACUGAGGGGGGCUGCUCCUAGUACGAGAGGACCGGAGUGGACGCAUCACUGGUGUUCGGGUUGUCAUGCCAAUGGCACUGC